UACGUAGGGGGCAAGCGUUGUCCGGAAUCAUUGGGCGUAAAGCGCGCGUAGGCGGCCCGGUAAGUCCGCUGUAAAAGUCCAGGGCUCAACCCUGGAAAGCCGGUGGAUACUGUCGGGCUAGAGUCCGGAAGAGGCGAGUGGAAUUCCUGGUGUAGCGGUGAAAUGCGCAGAUAUCGGGAAGAACACCCGUGGCGAAGGCGGUUCUCUGGGACGGUACUGACGCUGAGACGCGAAAGCGUGGGGAGCGAACAGG
RNAcentral lists this ribosomal RNA (253 nucleotides) under uncultured bacterium. RNAcentral's name for it is "partial 16S ribosomal RNA". It matches the Rfam family "Bacterial small subunit ribosomal RNA", at positions 524 to 776 of the family's 1533-position model. The record is from RNAcentral.